Molecule: ribosomal RNA, 243 nt
Filed under: uncultured bacterium MK01
Lineage: Bacteria; Pseudomonadati; Bacteroidota
Description: partial 16S ribosomal RNA
Rfam family: Bacterial small subunit ribosomal RNA
Source: RNAcentral
AGAGUUUGAUUCUGGCUCAGGAUGAACGCUAGCGGCAGGCCUAACACAUGCAAGUCGAGGGGUAGAGUUCUUCGGAAUUUGAGACCGGCGCACGGGUGCGUAACGCGUAUGCAAUCUACCUUAUACAGGGGAAUAGCCCAGAGAAAUUUGGAUUAAUGCCCCAUAGUGUUAUAGAAUCGCAUGGUUUUAUAACUAAAGUUCCAACGGUAUAAGAUGAGCAUGCGUCCCAUUAGUUAGUUGGUA